GAUGAACGCUGGCGGCGUGCCUAAUACAUGCAAGUCGAGCGAACGGACGAGAAGCUUGCUUCUCUGAUGUUAGCGGCGGACGGGUAAGUAACACGUGGAUAACCUACCUAUAAGACUGGGAUAACUUCGGGAAACCGGAGCUAAUACCGGAUAAUAUUUUGAACCGCGUGGUUCAAUAGUGAAAGACGGUCUUGCUGUCACUUAUAGAUGGAUCCGCGCUGCAUUAGCUAGUUGGUAAGGUAACGGCUUACCAAGGCAACGAUGCAUAGCCGACCUGAGAGGGUGAUCGGCCACACUGGAACUGAGACACGGUCCAGACUCCUACGGGAGGCAGCAGUAGGGAAUCUUCCGCAAUGGGCGAAAGCCUGACGGAGCAACGCCGCGUGAGUGAUGAAGGUCUUCGGAUCGUAAAACUCUGUUAUUAGGGAAGAACAUAUGUGUAAGUAACUGUGCACAUCUUGACGGUACCUAAUCAGAAAGCCACGGCUAACUACGUG
This 497-nucleotide ribosomal RNA is filed under the name uncultured bacterium. RNAcentral's name for it is "partial 16S ribosomal RNA". It matches the Rfam family "Bacterial small subunit ribosomal RNA", at positions 28 to 507 of the family's 1533-position model. The record is from RNAcentral.